Molecule: long non-coding RNA, 3679 nt
Filed under: Equus caballus (horse)
Lineage: Eukaryota; Metazoa; Chordata; Mammalia; Perissodactyla; Equidae
Description: lncRNA (ENSECAG00000058558.1)
Source: RNAcentral
CUCGGCUCGGCCGCUGGCGGGGCGGCGAGGGGCGCGCGGGUGCGCGUGCGGGCGCGGGGUGUGUGCCCGCGCCGUGCCCCCUGCGCGUGCUGCCAGGCGGGCGCCGGCGUGAGUCACGGCCCUGCUGCCUUUAUAACGGCCGCGAGGCGCGCGGAGCCGCCCGCCCGACCGCUGCUCCGCGUUCCGGCGAGCGCGCCCGGCCCGCGCCCCCAACGUCCCCCAACCGCCGGCCAGGCCCGAGGGCGCCAUGAGGAGCCCGCGCUGCGCCCCGCUGCUGCUCCUGCUGCUGCUGCCGCCGCUGCUGCUCACGCCCCCCGCCGGGGACGCCGCCGUCAUCACCGGGGCCUGCGACAAGGACCCCCAGUGUGGUGGAGGCAUGUGCUGCGCUGUUAGUAUCUGGGUUAAGAGCAUAAGGAUUUGCACACCUAUGGGCAAAGUGGGAGACAGCUGCCAUCCGCUGACUCGUAAACUCCACACUACAGUGACCUAAACAACGCUUUUGAAAAGUUAUUGACAAUGAGUGGCGUGACCGGACGAUGGCGGAUUGAAUGGGGCUCUAGCCGCUGGGUUGCGGGCUCUCCUGUCUGUAGGGGCCAGGCGCAUUUACGUGACCUCAGGCGGGGUGGGUUGGAGACAGGAGGGAGCAGAGAAGUCUGUGGACCCUGGAGAGUCCUUGCCCUUCAGAUUCACAACUUUUGAAACACAGUUUGAUGUCAGCAAAAUCUCCUGGGGAUGCCAGGUUGCAGCGUCUUGCUCUCCCAGUCCCACCUCCUGGUCUUACCCAGCAGGAAAGUGAAGUCCAGAGGCACCGAAGGAUGCGUCCGAGGCUGGGUGGCCGGUGGAGGCCCAGCUCAGUCUCUCUGCCACGUUCUCUCUACACAUUGUGUACUCUCAUUUUAAAAUAGACUGAAUAUUUUCAAAGCAAACUGAAUUCUACCUUCUGCCUUUUUUUUUCUCAUGUCAUAGAGUUUAAAACUGUGGUAGAGCCAGACAUCUUUCCUGUACUCCACAGUUGCAGAAAGCAGUUACUGUUUGGGCAUUGCUGGAAUGAACCUCAUGAAAUAAACUGGCUCAGGUUUAGUGCUAUGAGCUGUAAUAGGGACUCUGGUUGUUUGGACCCAUCUGAAGACUGAAUUUGGCUUUCCUGUGGUUUCCUUGAGAAAUACUUCCUGUUACGUGUAGACUGUGCCUCCCCAUGCUUUUACCACUCGAGACUAGACUGUCAUUUUUAAACAUGACAUGCACCUUCUAUUCUUGGCUGUUUUAGAACGGGAAAGGUUCUAAACCAUUAGUCGUCUGUCUCCAUGCCAAACUCCCCACAAGGAGGUGAAGCUGGCCCAGCCACCUUUGGCACUGAUCUCCAUUUUUUCAUCACCCUUAUCGAAUGUUCCAUUUUUUGGGCGGAGAAUGCAUCACACGUGUCCAUGUAUGCCGGGCUUAGCUUGUUUACGGACUUCGUUUAAUCGAUUUAUUUGUUUAGCCCGAAAGUAAUCACUUUGGAGUAGAAACUUGAAAUGUGAACAGCCGCACGAUGUCUGUAAAGUCUAUUUACUUGUGAUUGUGCCAAACAAGUAAGAUGCCAGAAAGAAAUGCUGUUGCUUCCUCAACUUUCCAAGUAACAGUUCUAGCUUUGAUUUUUAAAUGAUGGUUUUUUUAAAUUGAAAGAGGAUUUUAAUUUUGGACAGAAAUGUAAAGUGCAAGGCAUUAUGGAACCAGUUCUCGUUUCCCUGUUUGUGUUUUGGUUUGGUUUUGCUUUUUUUUUUUUUAAUGCCAAUAACUCACCCAUUUUCACAAAAAUGAGGAGAACAAGAAUUUGAUAUUUUGUUACAGAAACUUAUUUUUCCUUAAACCCCUGUCCCCAAGCCCUGGCCCCAGAUACACACACACACACACACAGCCCUUUGAGUCUCGUCUCUCACUCGUCAAGGAAUUUUAAGUCUGUCACUUUAUUCUUUGCCAUUUCCCUCUCUGACCUUCUAGCAUUUUAAAGUGUGCGCGUGGGGUCCAUGUCCUUUAACUUGCUGGCAGAAUCACUGACAAGAAUCAAGCUUUUUGCUUGAUACUUAAACAGUGGAAAGAGUCUAGUGGAACCAGCUGCUCCAGACUUCUCUUCUGUGGGGUGGAGGUUGGGGUGCUUCUGAAUUUCCACUGAACUUGCCUCUGAGAUGGACUUCAGGUCUGCUGUUUGACUGGGGGGAGGACAGGAGGCAUGGAAAGUCAAAUUAGUCCAGAUUUGUAGAUUUGGGGUUUUUUUUUUUUGAAGGCUUUUCUAAUACAAGAUUACUUUUAUUUCUCUUUCUCUUUAUAAAACUUUUUUUAAAGUCUCAUAGUUAGAGAUGUUCCAGAAAAUGUCACUUGAAGAGGAAGUAUUGAUUUUAAUCUGGCAUAACACUAGUUACCAUUUUUAAAUCGGUAUUACGUUGUAAUUUAAACUUUAUCUGUAACCAAAAGGUCUGUUGUAAUGGAUUGCCUGACAUCCUGCCAUUUGUACCUGUAUCAAUAUUGUGUAAAAAUUCUGUAUCAGAAUAAUGACAGUAUUGUAUAUCAUUUGAUUUAUUUUAAUAUUAUAUCCUUAUUUUUGUCACAGUUGUCGUCAGUUUUUAUUACAAGGAAACUCCUCUAUAGCUCACAUUCUAAAGUGGGUAAAGACUCCAAAGUUGGUAAAAUAGCACUAACGGCAUGUGCAUUUUCAUUUUACAUACAGGAAAGUUCUGUUUGCAUGAAUUUUAAGGUAGUACAAAAAAUAAACAGUGUGUAAAUCAGUGAGGUUUUGGAGCACAACGGAAAAUUAUGACAUGCAAAACUGACUGUAAUCAGGAAUGGACUCAUGGGAUUUCACUGUGUUGAUCUGGCCAAUAGUGCCGGAGUGUUUGUCAUGGUUAGGCAGGUGCUAGCCAAAAGGCGAUGCCCGUGUAGCCUGGCCUUGAAAAACCCACGGAGUAUUGUAAAUGAUUGAACGUCGCAAAUAAACAACUUAUGAAAUGCGUUCAACUGACUAAACUUGACCAUGCCAACCCACUAACUGUUUCCAAAAAAAAAAAAAACUGUCCAUUUGUAGUUCUUUACUCAGCCAGGGCUUACAAUUGUACAUUGUGUGUAACUUUACCCUUGGGGUUAACACGUCCCAUGAAUGUAUGGGAUUUUGCUGUGCUAAUUGCCAUACUUCAUCAUAGAAGUAUUAUUUUUGGUUCAGUUAGUUUGUUUUCAAGAAGCUUUCCUCAGCCCAAUGGUGUAGUGGUUGGGUUUGCGUUCUCCACUUCAGCAGACUGGGGUUCCCGGAUUUGGAUCCCGGGCAUGGACCUACACACUGCUCAUCGGCCAUGCUGUGGCAGAAACCCACAUACAAACUGGAGGAAGAUUGGCACAGAUGUUAGCUCAACGGCAGUCUUUCUCAAGCAAAAAGAGGAAGAUUUGCAACAAAGGUUAGCUCAAGCCCAAUCUUCCUCACCAAAAAAAAGAAAGAAACAUUCCUCAGUGAAUUUGUUGAAAAAAAAUUCAAGUGGAAUUGUGGGAAAAGAAACAGGCACUUCCAUAAUUUUGCUCAAUGUUGUUUUUAUAUAGUGUUUGAUACAUCCUUUUUCAUAAGUGGUGAAAACUUAAUAGGGUCAAUCAUCGAUUUUCACCCAAGUUAGAAAACAUAUAGCUAAUUUUUAUAAAAUUUUACUUUUACGGAUACCAA